This 522-nucleotide ribosomal RNA is filed under the name Clostridioides difficile. RNAcentral's name for it is "bacterial SSU rRNA". It matches the Rfam family "Bacterial small subunit ribosomal RNA", at positions 1017 to 1533 of the family's 1533-position model. The record is from RNAcentral. Lineage: Bacteria; Bacillati; Bacillota; Clostridia; Peptostreptococcales; Peptostreptococcaceae.
CUUCGGGGACAUUGGUGACAGGUGGUGCAUGGUUGUCGUCAGCUCGUGUCGUGAGAUGUUGGGUUAAGUCCCGCAACGAGCGCAACCCUUGUCUUUAGUUGCCAUCAUUAAGUUGGGCACUCUAGAGAGACUGCCAGGGAUAACCUGGAGGAAGGUGGGGAUGACGUCAAAUCAUCAUGCCCCUUAUGCUUAGGGCUACACACGUGCUACAAUGGGUAGUACAGAGGGUUGCCAAGCCGUAAGGUGGAGCUAAUCCCUUAAAGCUACUCUCAGUUCGGAUUGUAGGCUGAAACUCGCCUACAUGAAGCUGGAGUUACUAGUAAUCGCAGAUCAGAAUGCUGCGGUGAAUGCGUUCCCGGGUCUUGUACACACCGCCCGUCACACCACGGGAGUUGGAGACGCCCGAAGCCGAUUAUCUAACCUUUUGGAAGAAGUCGUCGAAGGUGGAAUCAAUAACUGGGGUGAAGUCGUAACAAGGUAGCCGUAUCGGAAGGUGCGGCUGGAUCACCUCCUUUCUAAGGA